RNAcentral lists this small nuclear RNA (105 nucleotides) under Carlito syrichta (Philippine tarsier). Lineage: Eukaryota; Metazoa; Chordata; Mammalia; Primates; Tarsiidae. The record is from RNAcentral.
GUGCUCACUUCGGCAGCACAUAUACCAAAAUUGGAAUGAUACAGAGAAGAUUAGCAUGGCCCCUGCUCAAGUAUGACACACAUUUGUGAAGCAUUCUAUAUUUUA